GAUGAACGCUGGCGGCGUGCCUAAUACAUGCAAGUCGAGCGAACGGACGAGAAGCUUGCUUCUCUGAUGUUAGCGGCGGACGGGUGAGUAACACGUGGAUAACCUACCUAUAAGACUGGGAUAACUUCGGGAAACCGGAGCUAAUACCGGAUAAUAUUUUGAACCGCAUGGUUCAAAAGUGAAAGACGGUCUUGCUGUCACUUAUAGAUGGAUCCGCGCUGCAUUAGCUAGUUGGUAAGGUAACGGCUUACCAAGGCAACGAUGCAUAGCCGACCUGAGAGGGUGAUCGGCCACACUGGAACUGAGACACGGUCCAGACUCCUACGGGAGGCAGCAGUAGGGAAUCUUCCGCAAUGGGCGAAAGCCUGACGGAGCAACGCCGCGUGAGUGAUGAAGGUCUUCGGAUCGUAAAACUCUGUUAUUAGGGAAGAACAUAUGUGUAAGUAACUGUGCACAUCUUGACGGUACCUAAUCAGAAAGCCACGGCUAACUACGUGCCAGCAGCCGCGGUAAUACGUAGGUGGCAAGCGUUAUCCGGAAUUAUUGGGCGUAAAGCGCGCGUAGGCGGUUUUUUAAGUCUGAUGUGAAAGCCCACGGCUCAACCGUGGAGGGUCAUUGGAAACUGGAAAACUUGAGUGCAGAAGAGGAAAGUGGAAUUCCAUGUGUAGCGGUGGAAUGCGCAGAGAUAUGGAGGAACACCAGUGGCGAAGGCGACUUUCUGGUCUGUAACUGACGCUGAUGUGCGAAAGCGUGGGGAUCAAACAGGAUUAGAUACCCUGGUAGUCCACGCCGUAAACGAUGAGUGCUAAGUGUUAGGGGGUUUCCGCCCCUUAGUGCUGCAGCUAACGCAUUAAGCACUCCGCCUGGGGAGUACGACCGCAAGGUUGAAACUCAAAGGAAUUGACGGGGACCCGCACAAGCGGUGGAGCAUGUGGUUUAAUUCGAAGCAACGCGAAGAACCUUACCAAAUCUUGACAUCCUUUGACAACUCUAGAGAUAGAGCCUUCCCCUUCGGGGGACAAAGUGACAGGUGGUGCAUGGUUGUCGUCAGCUCGUGUCGUGAGAUGUUGGGUUAAGUCCCGCAACGAGCGCAACCCUUAAGCUUAGUUGCCAUCAUUAAGUUGGGCACUCUAAGUUGACUGCCGGUGACAAACCGGAGGAAGGUGGGGAUGACGUCAAAUCAUCAUGCCCCUUAUGAUUUGGGCUACACACGUGCUACAAUGGACAAUACAAAGGGCAGCGAAACCGCGAGGUCAAGCAAAUCCCAUAAAGUUGUUCUCAGUUCGGAUUGUAGUCUGCAACUCGACUACAUGAAGCUGGAAUCGCUAGUAAUCGUAGAUCAGCAUGCUACGGUGAAUACGUUCCCGGGUCU
Molecule: ribosomal RNA, 1372 nt
Filed under: uncultured bacterium
Lineage: Bacteria
Description: bacterial SSU rRNA
Rfam family: Bacterial small subunit ribosomal RNA
Source: RNAcentral